Molecule: long non-coding RNA, 1183 nt
Organism: Cyprinus carpio carpio
Lineage: Eukaryota; Metazoa; Chordata; Actinopteri; Cypriniformes; Cyprinidae
Source: Ensembl
AUUAGCAUGUAGCUAGCAUAAGUAGCAAGUGACUAGCAUGCUGUUAACAUGACUAGCAUGUCUCUAGCAUGUUGCUAGCAUGACUAGCAUGUUUGUAGCAUGUUUCUAGCAUGUUUUUAGCAUGAUUAACAAAGUGACUAGCAUUUUGUUAUCAUGAUUAGCAAAGUGACUAGUAUUUUUUUAGCAUGAUUACCAAGUGACUAGCAUGUUUCUAGCAUGACUAGCAAGUGACUAGCAUGUUUCUAUCAUGUUUUUAGCAUGAUUAGCAAGUGACUAGCAUGUUGGUAGUAUGUCACUAGCAUGUUUUUAGCAUGAUUAGCAUGUCGCUAACAUGUUUCUAGCAUGAUUAGCAUGCGGCUAGCAUUUCUCUAGCAUGAUUAGCAAGUUGCUAGCAUGUUUCUAUCAUGUUUCUAGCAUUACUAGCAUGUUGCUAGUAUGUCACUAGCAUGUUGCUAGCAUGAUUAGCAUGUCGCUAGCAUGUUUGUAGCAUGAUUAGCAUGUUGCUAGCAUGAUUAGCAUGUUGUUAGCAUGUUUCUAACAUGAUUAGCAUGUUGUUUGUAUGUUGCUAACAUGUUUUUAGCAUGAUUAGUAUGCGACUAGCAUUUUGCUAGCAUGAUUAGCAUGCGACUAGCAUGUCACUAACAUGACUAGCAAAGUUACUAGCAUGUUGCUAGCUUGACUAGCGUGUCUCUAGCAUGUCUCUAGCAUGACUAGCAUGCCAUUAGCAUGAUUAGCAAGUGACUAGCAUGUUAUUAGCAUGUUUUUAGCAUGAUUAGCAAAGUUACUAGCAUGUUGUUACCAUGAUUAACAAGAGACUAGCAUGUUGUUAGCAUGAUUAGCAAGUGAUUAGCAUGUUGCUAGCAUGUAGCUAGCAUAAGUAGCAAGUGACUAGCAUGCUGUUAACAUGACUAGCAUGUAUCUAGCAUGUUGCUAGCAUGACUAGCAUGUCUGUAGCAUGUUUUUAGCAUGAUUAGCAAAUGACUAGCAUGUCGCUAGCAUGUUUUUAGCAUGAUUAGCAAGUGACUAGCAUGUUUUUAGCAUGAUUAGCGAGUGACUAGCAUGUCGCUAGCAUGUUUCUAGCAUGAUUAGCAAGUGACUAGCAUGUCACUAGCAUGAUUAGCAAGUUACUAGCAUGUCGCUAGCAUGUUUCUAGCAUGAUUAGCAAGUGACUAGCAUGUCACUA